GACGAACGCUGGCGGCGUGCUUAACACAUGCAAGUCGAACGGAGCGAAUGAAAGCUUGCUUUUAUAAGCUUAGUGGCAAACGGGUGAGUAACACGUAGGCAACCUGCCGACAGGAUGGGGACAACAUUCCGAAAGGAAUGCUAAUACCGAAUGAAGUCAGAGAAGGGCAUCCUUUUCUGAUGAAAGAUGGCCUCUAUAUAUAAGCUAUCACCUGUCGAUGGGCCUGCGUCUGAUUAGCUGGUAGGUGAGGUAACGGCUCACCUAGGCGACGAUCAGUAGCCGGUCUGAGAGGAUGAACGGCCACAUUGGGACUGAGACACGGCCCAGACUCCUACGGGAGGCAGCAGUGGGGAAUCUUCCGCAAUGGGCGCAAGCCUGACGGAGCAACGCCGCGUGAGUGAAGAAGGUCUUCGGAUCGUAAAGCUCUGUUGAUGGGGACGAACGUGCCUAAUGCGAAUAGUAUUAGGU
RNAcentral lists this ribosomal RNA (468 nucleotides) under Selenomonas sp. oral taxon 140. RNAcentral describes it as "bacterial SSU rRNA". It matches the Rfam family "Bacterial small subunit ribosomal RNA", at positions 28 to 473 of the family's 1533-position model. The record is from RNAcentral. Lineage: Bacteria; Bacillati; Bacillota; Negativicutes; Selenomonadales; Selenomonadaceae.